UAGCAGUAAGUUCAAAUAACACUGACAUCAUGCUGGGGACCCUUUUCACUCUCACCACUGCUCUGACAUGUGUGAGCGGAGCGACGGUGCUGACACAGAAGCCUCCAAUUGUAACAGUGAGAAAAGGAGAGACAGCCACCAUGGACUGUAACCUGGGGAGCGUUAGUAACAGUGCUGCUCGUUGGUACAAACGGAUUCCUGGUGGAGCUCCACAGUGGGUGCUGUAUUUCUAUCGUAGCAAUAGUGAACCAAUGUAUGGUUCUGGGUUUUCAUCUCCAAGGUUCACAUCAACUCAUCAGUCAACAACAGAUUAUCGUUUAAUCAUCAACAAUGUAGAAGAGCAAGACUCUGCAGUUUAUUACUGCAAAACAUGGGACAACUCUGUGAAUGAGUUUGUACACAGUGAUUUAUACCAUGACAAAAACCUCAACACAAACACUUCUGCUUUUAGACAAAUGGUGAACUGCUGGAGUGAAGAAUAA
Molecule: non-coding RNA, 482 nt
Organism: Gambusia affinis (western mosquitofish)
Lineage: Eukaryota; Metazoa; Chordata; Actinopteri; Cyprinodontiformes; Poeciliidae
Source: the annotation of a RefSeq genome assembly